AUUGAACGCUGGCGGCAUGCCUUACACAUGCAAGUCGAACGGCAGCACGGGAGCAAUCCUGGUGGCGAGUGGCGAACGGGUGAGUAAUAUAUCGGAACGUGCCCAGUCGUGGGGGGAUAACGCAGCGAAAGUUGUGCUAAUACCGCAUACGAUCUAUGGAUGAAAGCGGGGGAUCGCAAGACCUCGCGCGAUUGGAGCGGCCGAUAUCAGAUUAGGUUGUUGGUGAGGUAAAAGCUCACCAAGCCUGCGAUCUGUAGCUGGUCUGAGAGGACGACCAGCCACACUGGAACUGAGACACGGUCCAGACUCCUACGGGAGGCAGCAGUGGGGAAUUUUGGACAAUGGACGCAAGUCUGAUCCAGCAAUGCCGCGUGCAGGACGAAGGCCUUCGGGUUGUGUAACUGCUUUGUACUAGAACGAAAAGUACUUUAAUAACACUAGAGGCGUCAUGACGGUACUGUAAG
RNAcentral lists this ribosomal RNA (464 nucleotides) under uncultured bacterium. Its description in RNAcentral is "bacterial SSU rRNA". It matches the Rfam family "Bacterial small subunit ribosomal RNA", at positions 30 to 484 of the family's 1533-position model. The record is from RNAcentral.